RNAcentral lists this transfer RNA (73 nucleotides) under Oltmannsiellopsis viridis. RNAcentral's name for it is "tRNA-Val". It matches the Rfam family "tRNA". From Rfam's summary of the family: Transfer RNA (tRNA) molecules are approximately 80 nucleotides in length. The record is from RNAcentral. Lineage: Eukaryota; Viridiplantae; Chlorophyta; Ulvophyceae; Oltmannsiellopsidales; Oltmannsiellopsidaceae.
GAGCUGCUAGCUCAAUUGGUAGAGCAUUUCGUUUACACCGAAAAUGUUGUGGGUUCAAGUCCUACGUAGCUCA